GACGAACGCUGGCGGCGUGCUUAACACAUGCAAGUCGAACGGUGACCCAGGGCUUGCCCUGGUGAUCAGUGGCGAACGGUGAGUAACACGUGGGCAACCUGCCCCUGACUUCGGGAUAACUCCUCGAAAGAGGAACUAAUACCGGAUACGACCACUUCGGACAUCCGAUGGUGGUGGAAAGUUUUUCGGUCAGGGAUGGGCCCGCGGCCUAUCAGCUAGUUGGUGGGGUAAUGGCCUACCAAGGCGACGACGGGUAGCCGGCCUGAGAGGGCGACCGGCCACACUGGGACUGAGACACGGCCCAGACUCCUACGGGAGGCAGCAGUGGGAAUAUUGCGCAAUGGGCGAAAGCCUGACGCAGCGACGCCGCGUGAGGGAUGAAGGCCUUCGGUUGUAAACCUCUUUCAGCAGGACGAAGCGAAAGUGACGGUACCUGCAGAAGAAGCACCGGCUAACUAACGUGCCAGCAGCCGCGGUAA
RNAcentral lists this ribosomal RNA (479 nucleotides) under uncultured bacterium. RNAcentral describes it as "bacterial SSU rRNA". It matches the Rfam family "Bacterial small subunit ribosomal RNA", at positions 28 to 523 of the family's 1533-position model. The record is from RNAcentral.